CCUACGGGUGGCAGCAGUGGGGAAUCUUGCACAAUGGGGGAAACCCUGAUGCAGCGACGCCGCGUGAGUGAUGAAGCCCUUCGGGGUGUAAAGCUCUUUCGACGGGAACGAUUAUGACGGUACCCGGAGAAGAAGCUGCGGCUAACUACGUGCCAGCAGCCGCGGUAAUACGUAGGCAGCAAACGUUGUUCGGAAUUACUGGGCGUAAAGAGUGUGUAGGCGGUCCUGUAAGAUUGGUGUGAAAUCUCCCGGCUUAACUGGGAGGGUGCGCCGAUAACUGCUGGGCUCGAGUAUUGGAGAGGAGAGCGGAAUUCCUGGUGUAGCGGUGAAAUGCGUAGAUAUCAGGAGGAACACCGGUGGUGUAGACGGCUCUCUGGACAAUCACUGACGCUGAGACACGAAAGCGUGGGGAGCAAACAGGAUUAGAUACCCCAGUAGUC
RNAcentral lists this ribosomal RNA (440 nucleotides) under uncultured bacterium. RNAcentral's name for it is "partial 16S ribosomal RNA". It matches the Rfam family "Bacterial small subunit ribosomal RNA", at positions 338 to 795 of the family's 1533-position model. The record is from RNAcentral.